CCUACGGGUGGCAGCAGUGAGGAAUAUUGGUCAAUGGACGCAAGUCUGAACCAGCCAUGCCGCGUGCAGGAAGACGGCUCUAUGAGUUGUAAACUGCUUUUGUACGAGGGUAAACGCAGAUACGCGUAUCUGUCUGAAAGUAUCGUACGAAUAAGGAUCGGCUAACUCCGUGCCAGCAGCCGCGGUAAUACGGAGGAUUCAAGCGUUAUCCGGAUUUAUUGGGUUGAAAGGGUGCGUAGGCGGUCGGAUAAGUUAGAGGUGAAAUCCCGAGGCUCAACUUCGGAAUUGCCUCUGAUACUGUUCGGCGAGAGAGUAGUUGCGGUAGGCGGAAUGUAUGGUGUAGCGGUGAAAUGCUUAGAGAUCAUACAGAACACCGAUUGCGAAGGCAGCUUACCAAGCUACUUCUGACGUUGAGGCACGAAAGCGUGGGGAGCAAACAGGAUUAGAUACCCGAGUAGUC
RNAcentral lists this ribosomal RNA (460 nucleotides) under uncultured bacterium. Its description in RNAcentral is "partial 16S ribosomal RNA". It matches the Rfam family "Bacterial small subunit ribosomal RNA", at positions 338 to 795 of the family's 1533-position model. The record is from RNAcentral.